Molecule: ribosomal RNA, 103 nt
Filed under: Vibrio parahaemolyticus
Lineage: Bacteria; Pseudomonadati; Pseudomonadota; Gammaproteobacteria; Vibrionales; Vibrionaceae
Description: partial 16S ribosomal RNA
Rfam family: Bacterial small subunit ribosomal RNA
Source: RNAcentral
UUAAAUUGAAGAGUUUGAUCAUGGCUCAGAUUGAACGCUGGCGGCAGGCCUAACACAUGCAAGUCGAGCGGAAACGAGUUAUCAGAACCUUCGGGGGACGAUA